Molecule: long non-coding RNA, 286 nt
Organism: Brachypodium distachyon (stiff brome)
Lineage: Eukaryota; Viridiplantae; Streptophyta; Magnoliopsida; Poales; Poaceae
Exons: 2
Source: RefSeq, a predicted model, not a curated record
AAUCAGACCUUGUUAUUUUUUGCACCGUUCUUCAUAUACUCCCUCCAUCCGGAAAUAAGUGACUUGGAUUCGUCGUUUAGGGAGUAUAAUACGAUGAUAAUAUGUCUACUUCCAUACAGUGAUGGUUUAGGGGAGUCAUGUUUGUGCUGUGCCUUCGAGGCAUGGAAGGCGUUCCUGUCUUGUGUGACUGCGUGUGUGAGGCAAGGGAUAUUUUGGGGUAUUAGAGUCUUGGUAGGCAGGGUGUACCCAAGAGGUAUCAAUGUAUCAUGACUAUUUUAAUUUUAAA